RNAcentral lists this long non-coding RNA (281 nucleotides) under Elaeis guineensis (African oil palm). RNAcentral's name for it is "long non-coding RNA (EGUI_LNC046422)". Lineage: Eukaryota; Viridiplantae; Streptophyta; Magnoliopsida; Arecales; Arecaceae. The record is from RNAcentral.
GUCAGCCACAAGGUGAGAAAAUAUCAAAAAAAAUAUGACUAAAUAUACCAAAUCAAGUUUGAUUUUGAUUUGGAUUCAAUUUGAAUCUAAUUUGAAUCUGAUUCGAACUAAAUUCGAAAAGGCUGCUAAUCCUAAUCUAUUUAGGAUUUAGGUCCAAGUUCAACUUAGAUAAUUAACCUAAUUUAAUCUUAAUAAAAUUAAGCCUUAUUAAAUUAGAUCUGAUCUAAAAUAACUAGGACUCAAAUCCAAUCUCUCAUAUUUUCUUGAAUCAUAGAUUCGAU